UUAAGUAUAUAAGUAAAUAGAAAUCUAUGAAAUUUAAAGACAAGGUUAAUGACCACAAUAGGAAGGUUAGGAUUGAUUUUUGGAGUUUUGGUCCGAACAGUUAAGGAAUAAGGGGCCAAAAUUAAACUUUGUUUGAUUUCAUCAAAAAUUGAAUUAUUGGGGUUCCUUGAUAUGCCGAAUCUUACUGUGUAUUUAGAAUCUUUAUAUUUGGUCACGUUUUCAAAUUGGUCUUCUUAAAGGCCCAAAGGCUCCAAAAUUAAAUUUAGUUUGAUUUAAACAAAAAUUGAAAUCUUGGUAUUUGGGCCCAGUUAUCAAAUAAGUCAGCAUUUAGGUCUCAAGGGUUCAAAUUGAACUUUAUUAGAUUUCUUCAAAAAAUUGAAUUCUUGGGGUUUUUUGAUAUGCUGAAUCUUACCAUGUAUUUUGAUUUUGGAUAUUGGACCAUAAUAGGUAAUGUCAAAUUUAAAAGUUUUUAAGCUCUUAGACCACAUUCAUUCUGUGUCAGAAACCUGUGUUGUGUCACCUAUUUAAUCAUAAUUCAAAUUCAGAGCUGUAUCAAGCUUGAAUAUUGUGUCCUUACUUGCCCCAACUGUUCAGGGUUGACUUCUGCAGUCGUAUAAAGCUGCGCCCUGCAAAGCACCUGGUUUCAUUUUUCGAAUAUACCAUGAUAGCUUCUUUGUCUCUUAAUUUAAAGGUUAUUUUUAGCAUGUUUAUAAAAGUCACUUUAACUAAAAGAUAUGGAUUUCUCUAUAAACAUGAAUUUUGGGAACAAAAACUUAAAAAAUCAGGUCUGGUGAUAUCAAUAACUGUGUUUGUGUAUUUGUUUUGAGGGAUCAAAUAAAUAUUUAUGAUCUA
Molecule: long non-coding RNA, 852 nt
Filed under: Mytilus galloprovincialis (Mediterranean mussel)
Lineage: Eukaryota; Metazoa; Mollusca; Bivalvia; Mytilida; Mytilidae
Source: RNAcentral